Molecule: ribosomal RNA, 466 nt
Filed under: uncultured bacterium
Lineage: Bacteria
Description: partial 16S ribosomal RNA
Rfam family: Bacterial small subunit ribosomal RNA
Source: RNAcentral
GACGAACGCUGGCGGUGUGCUUAACACAUGCAAGUCGAACGGUAAGGCCCUUUCGGGGGUACACGAGUGGCGAACGGGUGAGUAACACGUGAGUAACCUGCCCUCCUCUCUGGGAUAACAGUCGGAAACGGUUGCUAAUACUGGAUAUGAGCUUGCAAGGCAUCUUGUGGGUUGGAAAGAUUUUUUUGGUUGGGGAUGGACUCGCGGCCUAUCAGCUUGUUGGUGAGGUAGUGGCUCACCAAGGCUUCGACGGGUAGCCGGCCUGAGAGGGCGACCGGCCACAUUGGGACUGAGAUACGGCCCAAACUCCUACGGGAGGCAGCAGGGGGGAAUAUUGCACAAUGGACGGAAGUCUGAUGCAGCAACGCCGCGUGCGGGAUGACGGCCUUCGGGUUGUAAACCGCUUUCAAUUGUGACGAAGCUUUUUGUGACGGUAGCAGUAGAAGAAGCACCGGCUAACUACGUG